Molecule: transfer RNA, 73 nt
Filed under: Mesocricetus auratus (golden hamster)
Lineage: Eukaryota; Metazoa; Chordata; Mammalia; Rodentia; Cricetidae
Rfam family: tRNA
About the family: Transfer RNA (tRNA) molecules are approximately 80 nucleotides in length. Their secondary structure includes four short double-helical elements and three loops (D, anti-codon, and T loops).
Source: Rfam by way of RNAcentral
GGAGACAUGGCUCAGUGGUUAAGAGUACUAACUGUUCUUUCAAAGGCCCUGGGUUCGAUUCCCAGUGGCUCAC